UUCCAUCGGCCUCAGAUUGGUAGGACUACCCGCUGAACUUAA
Molecule: ribosomal RNA, 42 nt
Filed under: Penicillium sp. JS2038
Lineage: Eukaryota; Fungi; Ascomycota; Eurotiomycetes; Eurotiales; Aspergillaceae
Also listed under: 1 other name
Description: partial 28S ribosomal RNA
Source: RNAcentral